AGUGAACGCUGGCGGUAGGCCUAACACAUGCAAGUCGAACGGCAGCACAGUAAGAGCUUGCUCUUACGGGUGGCGAGUGGCGGACGGGUGAGGAAUACAUCGGAAUCUACUUUUUCGUGGGGGAUAACGUAGGGAAACUUACGCUAAUACCGCAUACGACCUACGGGUGAAAGCAGGGGAUCUUCGGACCUUGCGCGAUUGAAUGAGCCGAUGUCGGAUUAGCUAGUUGGCGAGGUAAAGGCCCACCAAGGCGACGAUCCGUAGCUGGUCUGAGAGGAUGAUCAGCCACACUGGAACUGAGACACGGUCCAGACUCCUACGGGAGGCAGCAGUGGGGAAUAUUGGACAAUGGGCGCAAGCCUGAUCCAGCCAUACCGCGUGGGUGAAGAAGGCCUUCGGGUUGUAAAGCCCUUUUGUUGGGAAGGAAAAGCAGCAGGUUAAUACCCCGCUGUUCUGACGGUACCCAAAGAAUAAGCACCGGCUAACUUCGUG
RNAcentral lists this ribosomal RNA (492 nucleotides) under uncultured bacterium. Its description in RNAcentral is "partial 16S ribosomal RNA". It matches the Rfam family "Bacterial small subunit ribosomal RNA", at positions 29 to 507 of the family's 1533-position model. The record is from RNAcentral.